UGAACAUUUUGUAUUUUACAAUGGGGCAAAGUGUAGGUUUUUAAAUGACAUGGGGGAAAGUGAAAAAGCGGGUUUUAACAGGGGGGUUUUUCAUAAUUUAGCCAUAUUAAAAUGUUUCAAAAUUUAAUUUUAAAUCAAAUAUGAAUUUUAUUGUGAAAAUAUCUUUAUCUUUUUAACUAAUUUUUUCAUGUCCAAAAAUUUUGAAUCAUUCAUCUCAAAUAAUAUAUUAAAUUUUAACGCAUUUGAAUUUAAAUUUUAAAAUAUAUCAAAAUUAAAUUUUGAAUUUUGAAUUAGUAUUUACAGUUUAAGAUUUAGAUAAUUGUUUAAUUGGUAUAAUUUGACUUAAUUUGAACUUAUUUGAAUUAAUUUUAUUUAAUUUGGUUUAAAUAUAAUAAUUAACUAAGUAAUAAUUUAUUCUAAAAUAAAGAUAUUAAUUUUUUGCCAUUAGAUCUUAUCUAAUGAUUGAAAAUAAAAGUAUCUGUCACUUUUUGUGACAAUAAUACCCUCGCAUUUAUAUCAUAUUUUCUAUCUACGCGUUUCUCAAAUAUUUUCCUUCUCACGCGUAAUAUCCGCACCUGCCAAUUCUUUCGCAACGUAAUAUCCGUGAAUUUUUCAAAUAUCUCAUUAAUCCACCUACCAUACACAUCCACCGCCUAUAUAAUAUCCAGUUAACAUUUCUCAUACGUAAUAUGACCUAUCAUAAUUUUGAAUUAAACAUAUCAUCGUAUUUGAAUUUAAAUAUUAAAAUAUUUCAAAAUUAAAUUUUAAAUCAAAUAUGAAUUUUAUUGCGAAAAUAUCUUUAUCUUUUUAACUAAUUUCUCAUAAGUAAUAUGACCUAUCAUAAUUUUGAAUUAAACAUAUCAUCGUAUUUGAAUUUAAAUAUUAGUGUAAUAUAUGCACCCGCCAAUUCUUUCGCAACGUAAUAUCCGUGAAUUUUUCAAAUAUCUCAAUAAUCCACCUACCAUACACAUCCAUCACCUACAUAAUAUAUCAUCGUAUUUGAAUUUAAAUAUUAAAGUGAUUCAAAAUUAAAUUUUAAAUCAAAUAUGAAUUUUAUUGCGAAAAGAUCUUUAUCU
Molecule: long non-coding RNA, 1076 nt
Filed under: Ananas comosus (pineapple)
Lineage: Eukaryota; Viridiplantae; Streptophyta; Magnoliopsida; Poales; Bromeliaceae
Description: long non-coding RNA (ACOM_LNC008176)
Source: RNAcentral